UGGGGGAAUUUUGGACAAUGGGCGAAAGCCUGAUCCAGCAAUGCCGCGUGUGUGAAGAAGGCCUUCGGGUUGUAAAGCACUUUUGUCCGGAAAGAAAUCCUUGGCUCUAAUACAGUCGGGGGAUGACGGUACCGGAAGAAUAAGCACCGGCUAACUACGUGCCAGCAGCCGCGGUAAUACGUAGGGUGCAAGCGUUAAUCGGAAUUACUGGGCGUAAAGCGUGCGCAGGCGGUUUGCUAAGACCGAUGUGAAAUCCCCGGGCUCAACCUGGGAACUGCAUUGGUGACUGGCAGGCUAGAGUAUGGCAGAGGGGGGUAGAAUUCCACGUGUAGCAGUGAAAUGCGUAGAGAUGUGGAGGAAUACCGAUGGCGAAGGCAGCCCCCUGGGCCAAUACUGACGCUCAUGCACGAAAGCGUGGGGAGCAAACAGGAUUAGAUACCCUGGUAGUCCACGCCCUAAACGAUGUCAACUAGUUGUUGGGGACUUCAUUUCCUUAGUAACGUAGCUAACGCGUGAAGUUGACCGCCUGGGGAGUACGGUCGCAAGAUUAAAACUCAAAGGAAUUGACGGGGUCAUAGCUGUUUCCU
This 587-nucleotide ribosomal RNA is filed under the name uncultured bacterium. RNAcentral describes it as "partial 16S ribosomal RNA". It matches the Rfam family "Bacterial small subunit ribosomal RNA", at positions 354 to 1375 of the family's 1533-position model. The record is from RNAcentral.